Salvelinus fontinalis (brook trout) is the source of this 3035-nucleotide long non-coding RNA. RefSeq lists it as uncharacterized. The transcript has 2 exons. The record is from RefSeq and is a predicted model, not a curated record. Lineage: Eukaryota; Metazoa; Chordata; Actinopteri; Salmoniformes; Salmonidae.
AAGGUUGUACAUUAUGGAUAUUCAAAAUGCAAUUAGGACAAUGUGCAGGACACUUUGCUUGAUAAUAGAAUGUAUUAUACAGAUACUUUUCAUGCAUGUAAUGUCCUGGGAACGGAAAAGGCACCGAUUCGGCGGAAUGGCCCUUAUAUUAAUUGAAUCAACCAUACAUUUUUAGAAACGUACCGUUUUUCCCGUGCAAGCCGACAUCCCGAUGUAGCCACCUUGAGCUAUAGUGUAGCCUACGGCUUGUGUAUUUCCUGUUAUCGCUAAACCUAGAAUUUCCGCGUGCCGCUUAGGCCGCCCAUUGUGAUUCGCUUGUGGGCGUGAUGGUAGCAUAUAGCAGCAGUUCGACUGUGCGUCAAUAAUUCAGCAUAGCAAGUUUGAAUGAAUGUCUGGUUAUUAAAUGGGUACAUAGUUCAAUAGUAAUAUCCUCUAAAACGUUCUGGUGACAAAUUUUGCAGCCCUGUUUCCAAUUGGCCACAUGGCUAGGAGAACCUAUUCAAGUAAGUAAAUACAUUUCAAAAAUGUUUUUAAAAAACAAUGUAUUAUUAGCUAACUAGCUACAGUGCAGGCUAACUCAAAUUAACUGCUAGUUGGCUAGCUAGUUAACGUUACCUAGCCAACUUCACAUACUGUAUAACUAGCUUAGUGAAUGAAAUAUCACCACCUGUAUUUAUCACUGUAAAAAACAAACUCCAAAUGCAUUUGUAGGUAGCUAGCUAACUGCCAUAUAGGAGGGUGAAAGGAUAGCAGCCCCAACUGUCAGUGAGAGAGUAGGCUAUUCUGGAUAGGGCAGGUACUUUUGUGUAGUUCCUGUCCCUAAAAGUGAGGAUGGAGAUAAUAUUAACUUAAUAUUCAGUGCGGUGUAAUUUGACUAUAAUGAAGUCUGUUUCUUGUGAGGUUUUCUAUCCUCAUAUAAAGAGAGCUAUGAAAGCCUGUCUACAUAUGAAGAGGUCCCAAUGAAGAGCAGUGGUUCUCAGUCCUGGUCCUGGGGACUCAAAGGGGUGCACAUUUUUGUUUUUGCCUUAGCACUGCACAGCUGAUUCAAAUUAUCAACUCAUCAAGCUUCAAGUUGUAUUUAUGUAUUCAUUUGUGAUGCUAUCCUUAAUAUGAUCCUGUUAUUGUCACAUACUACACAUGCACAUUUUUUUUCUUUUAUUUUUACCGUUAUUUUACCAGGUAAGUUGACUGAGAACACGUUCUCAUUUGCAGCAACGACCUGGGGAAUAGUUACAGGGGAGAGGAGGGGGAUGAAAGAGCCAAUUGUAAAGUGGGGAUUAUUAGGUGACCAUGAUGGUUUGAGGGCCAGAUUGGGAAUUUAGCCAGGACACCGGGGUUAACACCCCUACUCUUACGAUAAGUGCCAUGGGAUCUUUAAUGACCUCAGAGAGGCAGGACACCCGUUUAACGUCCCAUCCGAAAGACGGCACCCUACACAGGGCAGUGUCCCCAAUCACUGCCCUGGGGCAUUGGGAUAUUUUUUAGACCAGAGGAAAGAGUGCCUCCUACUGGCCCUCCAACACCACUUCCAGCAGCAUCUGGUCUCCCAUCCAGGGCCUGAACAGGACCAACCCUGCUUAACUUCAGAAGCAAGCCAGUAGUGGUAUGCAGGGUGGUACGUUGCUGGCCCAUGCAUCUAUCAAUCCAAUGUUAUCAUGAUUUGUCAUCAGGGAUAUUAUACUUUAGUAAUCCACAAUGACCUGGUGAUGUAAAAGUCAAAUUAUUACAUUGUCUUCCAUAUUCCUACAGAUACCUUGUAACUCGAGAUUCCUUCAAAACGGUUAACAUGUAGGGCACUGCAAGGUUGGGUGACCAGGGCCAUCUGGGACUGCCUCCUGGAGGAAUUCAGGUUUGUGAAGGCUACCUGUGUUCUGCAUAACUUCAUGAGGAUGGACACGAGGACCAGGAGGGGAUCUGUAGCUCGUCAGAGGAGAAGUCUGCAGGAUGUUUCAAGGAUGGGGUCCAACAACGCAGCAAGAGAGGCAAUCCAUGUGCAGGAGAUCUUCACUUCCUACUUCUUCGAAGAGGGAGUUGUUCCCUGGCAACACCAUAGACUACACUAUGCACAAUCAAAGGCUCUGUAAGAGCCAUUCACAUUGCAAUAAGAGUAUUUUUCCAUUUACUUAGCUAUAUCAACUGCAGUUACUCAAUUCCCAGUUCUCUCCCUUUAAUUUCUACUUCUCAGGUGAGGGUACUGUUUAGGUAAGGGUGUGAUGUCUGUUCAAAAACAAGACGAGCUAUUUUAAGUCACCCAUAUUGAUUUUUUUUAAAUUAGAAACCCUAUAACCCACAUCUACACACAUGUAUCAAUCUGAUUGAUGGAUUGUGUUGUGCAGUAACCAGGCUCAGGUGUAUAACUGUGGCUCCUCCCACCUUCAAAGAAUAGGCAAAAGAGCCAACCACGGAGAAUAGCAAGACACUUCACUAUUUCAAUAACUAUGCUAUAUUGUUUGUCCUUGUGUGUUCGUUCAUGUUUGUCAGCAUAAAGUACUCUGCAGCUACUUAUUGUGGUGUGGACACCAGGUGAGGCCACACACAGAUUCCUGUUGAACACUGUCGCUUUAACUACCUUAAUUUCUCAAUAAGUCUCUCCUUCACUUCAUCCCUCUCUCCUCUUCUCCUUAAAUCCUCUAGGUUAUAUCGGCUGUGUCGAUGAACCCCUCCCGCAUUUAAACUGGCUACAUAGAGGGCACAGCAUGAUAAGAGGUGAGAGGUCACUAGAUGCUUUGAUGUGAGAGGAUGCCAACCCCCAGUCCCAUCAUCGCUACCUCACCCGCUUUUAAGAUAACCUUUUGGCCGACUAGAGACACUUAUGUAAUUGUGAUGAACUGAGAGAAUAUGUGGGUUGCACUGUGAUUCAUUAAUCAUAGGAGCAGGGAAGACCGCAUAUGUUCUUACCUCUUUCCCUUUGUCUUUUACACCUCUCGCCACCUUUCUUCCUCUGUUUUUAUAAUGCAUAACAGAUGUGCAUUGAAGUACAGAUUGAACUUGUAUUGGUAAUGAACUGCUUUCAAUAAAGUGUUUCACAUUCUCUA